AUUCCCGUUGAUCCUGCGGGAGGUUGCUGCUAUUGGGAUUCGACUAAGCCAUGCAAGUCAAGGGGUUUCUUCGGAAACACCGGCGAACUGCUCAGUAACACGUCAAUAAUUUACCCUUAGGUCUAGAAUAACUUUGGGAAACUGAGGCUAAUGCUGGAUAAGAAAAAGGUAUUGGAAUAUCUUUUUUCUGAAAGCUACGGUGCCUAAGGAUGAGUUGGCGGCUGAUUAGGUUGUUGGUGGGGUAAAGGCCCACCAAGCCGAAGAUCAGUAGGAGCCUUGCGAGAGGUAGCUCCGAGAAGGACACUGAGAUACUGGUCCUAGCCCUACGGGGUGCAGCAGGCGCGAAACCUU
RNAcentral lists this ribosomal RNA (351 nucleotides) under Candidatus Woesearchaeota archaeon. RNAcentral's name for it is "bacterial SSU rRNA". It matches the Rfam family "Archaeal small subunit ribosomal RNA", at positions 1 to 350 of the family's 1478-position model. The record is from RNAcentral. Lineage: Archaea; Nanobdellati; Candidatus Woesearchaeota.